UACGGGGGGGGCAAGCGUUGUUCGGAAUUACUGGGCGUAAAGGCUCGUAGGCGGCCAACUAAGUCGGACGUGAAAUCCCCAGGCUCAACCUGGGAACUGCGUCCGAUACUGGAUGGCUUGAAUCCGGGAGAGGGAUGCAGAAUUCCAGGUGUAGCGGUGAAAUGCGUAGAUAUCUGGAGGAAUACCGGUGGCGAAGGCGGCAUCCUGGACCGGCAUUGACGCUGAGGAGCGAAAGCCAGGGGAGCAAACGGG
Molecule: ribosomal RNA, 252 nt
Filed under: uncultured bacterium
Lineage: Bacteria
Description: partial 16S ribosomal RNA
Rfam family: Bacterial small subunit ribosomal RNA
Source: RNAcentral